GACGAACGCUGGCGGCGUGCUUAACACAUGCAAGUCGAACGGAAAGGCCCUGCUUUUGUGGGGUGCUCGAGUGGCGAACGGGUGAGUAACACGUGAGUAACCUGCCCUUGACUUUGGGAUAACUUCAGGAAACUGGGGCUAAUACCGGAUAGGAGCUCCUGCUGCAUGGUGGGGGUUGGAAAGUUUCGGCGGUUGGGGAUGGGCUCGCGGCUUAUCAGCUUGUUGGUGGGGUAGUGGCUUACCAAGGCUUUGACGGGUAGCCGGCCUGAGAGGGUGACCGGCCACAUUGGGACUGAGAUACGGCCCAGACUCCUACGGGAGGCAGCAGUGGGGAAUAUUGCACAAUGGGCGGAAGCCUGAUGCAGCAACGCCGCGUGCGGGAUGACGGCCUUCGGGUUGUAAACCGCUUUCGCCUGUGACGAAGCGUGAGUGACGGUAAUGGGUAAAGAAGCACCGGCUAACUACGUGCCAGCAGCCGCGGUGAUACGUAGGGUGCGAGCGUUGUCCGGAUUUAUUGGGCGUAAAGGGCUCGUAGGUGGUUGAUCGCGUCGGAAGUGUAAUCUUGGGGCUUAACCCUGAGCGUGCUUUCGAUACGGGUUGACUUGAGGAAGGUAGGGGAGAAUGGAAUUCCUGGUGGAGCGGUGGAAUGCGCAGAUAUCAGGAGGAACACCAGUGGCGAAGGCGGUUCUCUGGGCCUUUCCUGACGCUGAGGAGCGAAAGCGUGGGGAGCGAACAGGCUUAGAUACCCUGGUAGUCCACGCUGUAAACGGUGGGUACUAGGUGUGGGGUCCAUUCCACGGGUUCCGUGCCGUAGCUGACGCUUUAAGUACCCCGCCUGGGGAGUACGGCCGCAAGGCUAAAACUCAAAGGAAUUGACGGGGCCCCGCACAAGCGGCGGAGCAUGCGGAUUAAUUCGAUGCAACGCGUAGAACCUUACCUGGGUUUGACAUGGAUCGGGAGUGCUCAGAGAUGGGUGUGCCUCUUUUGGGGUCGGUUCACAGGUGGUGCAUGGCUGUCGUCAGCUCGUGUCGUGAGAUGUUGGGUUAAGUCCCGCAACGAGCGCAGCCCUUGUUCACUGUUGCCAGCACGUUAUGGUGGGGACUCAGUGGAGACCGCCGGGGUCAACUCGGAGGAAGGUGGGGAUGACGUCAAGUCAUCAUGCCCCUUAUGUCCAGGGCUUCACGCAUGCUACAAUGGCUGGUACAGAGAGUGGCGAGCCUGUGAGGGUGAGCGAAUCCCGGAAAGCCGGUCUCAGUUCGGAUUGGGGUCUGCAACUCGACCUCAUGAAGUCGGAGUCGCUAGUAAUCGCAGAUCAGCAACGCUGCGGUGAAAACGUUCCCGGGGCU
This 1346-nucleotide ribosomal RNA is filed under the name uncultured bacterium. RNAcentral describes it as "partial 16S ribosomal RNA". It matches the Rfam family "Bacterial small subunit ribosomal RNA", at positions 28 to 1381 of the family's 1533-position model. The record is from RNAcentral.